AAUGAAAAUAUUCUAACGAGCUCUUUCUUAUACAUCAUGUCCUCUCAUGUAUCGAAAUUCGAUCCUUAAACUGAUAAAGCCCAAUAGGGCAUGAUAUCUUAAUCUGAAUUUCAGUUCGGUAGAGCCCCAAAGGGCAUGCUUAUUUAUCUGGAUUUCAGUCUGAUAGAGCCUUGAAGGGCAUGAAUGUUAAUCCAGAUUUUAGUCUGAUAGAGCCCCAAAGGGCAUGAAUAUUUAUCCAGAUUUUAGUCCGAUAGAGCCCUAAAGGGAAUGGAUGUUAAUCUGGAUUCCAGUUCGAUAGAGUCUCGAAGGGCAUGAAUGUUAAUCCAGAUUCC
This 332-nucleotide long non-coding RNA is filed under the name Elaeis guineensis (African oil palm). RNAcentral describes it as "long non-coding RNA (EGUI_LNC018326)". Lineage: Eukaryota; Viridiplantae; Streptophyta; Magnoliopsida; Arecales; Arecaceae. The record is from RNAcentral.